Molecule: ribosomal RNA, 496 nt
Filed under: uncultured bacterium
Lineage: Bacteria
Description: partial 16S ribosomal RNA
Rfam family: Bacterial small subunit ribosomal RNA
Source: RNAcentral
GAUGAACGCUGGCGGCGUGCCUAAUACAUGCAAGUCGAGCGAACGGACGAGAAGCUUGCUUCUCUGAUGUUAGCGGCGGACGGGUGAGUAACACGUGGAUAACCUACCUAUAAGACUGGGAUAACUUCGGGAAACCGGAGCUAAUACCGGAUAAUAUUUUGAACCGCAUGGUUCAAAAGUGAAAGACGGUCUUGCUGUCACUUAUAGAUGGAUCCGCGCUGCAUUAGCUAGUUGGUAAGGUAACGGCUUACCAAGGCAACGAUGCAUAGCCGACCUGAGAGGGUGAUCGGCCACACUGGAACUGAGACACGGUCCAGACUCCUACGGGAGGCAGCAGUAGGGAAUCUUCCGCAAUGGGCGAAAGCCUGACGGAGCAACGCCGCGUGAGUGAUGAAGGUCUUCGGAUCGUAAAACUCUGUUAUUAGGGAAGAACAUAUGUGUAAGUAACUGUGCACAUCUUGACGGUACCUAAUCAGAAAGCCCCGGCUAACUACGU